ACUCAAAGGAAUUGACGGGGGCCUGCACAAGCGGUGGAGUAUGUGGCUUAAUUCGAUGCAACGCGAAGAACCUUACCUGGCCUUGACAUGUAGGUACUAGGGAAGCGAAAGCCGACCGAGGUAGCAAUACCAGCUUACACAGGUGCUGCAUGGCUGUCGUCAGCUCGUGUCGUGAGAUGUUGGGUUAAGUCCCGCAACGAGCGCAACCCUCGCAUCCAGUUGCCACCCGGAUUUGUUUCUGGAGCACUUUGGAUGAACCGCCUCGCUUCAACGAGGAGGAAGGUGGGGACGACGUCAAGUCAGUAUGGCCCUUACGGCCAGGGCUGCACACGUACUACAAUGCCCGGUACAAUGGGACGCCAGCCAGCAAUGGUCAGCAAAUCCCAAAAACCGGGCUCAGUUCAGAUUGCCGGCUGCAAUUCGCCGGCAUGAAGCUGGAAUCGCUAGUAAUGGCGCAUCAGCUACGGCGCCGUGAAUACGUUCCCAGGCCUUGUACACACCGCCCGU
RNAcentral lists this ribosomal RNA (507 nucleotides) under uncultured bacterium. Its description in RNAcentral is "partial 16S ribosomal RNA". It matches the Rfam family "Bacterial small subunit ribosomal RNA", at positions 899 to 1397 of the family's 1533-position model. The record is from RNAcentral.